GUUGCAGGCAAAGUACGGCAUGGGCUUCGGAAGGCAUACACUCAUGAGGGCAUGCAUCCAUUACAGCACAUGUGAAACGUGUCAAGGGCGAAUUCAAUAUACUGAUUGGCAUGGUGGGUUCGUCCCUGCCCAUGAUUGGUUUGGAGCAUCACUUUUCUACGUGAAAAUAAGCUGCCACACCCUCUGGCCCUCCCCCAGCUCCUGUUUCUCAGCUGUGGUCCUCCACUGGAAUGAGUUUCACAAUUUCCCUGAAUAAAAAGUCUUAGCCUAUUCCUGGAUCAACGAAUGCCUCUAAAAAAGUUUCAUUUAGGAUUGAGCUUUCAGGUUGUCCCAUAGGAGAGCCUUGUUGUGACAUUUAAAGAGCCCAUAUACAACAUUUUUUUGCAUUUUAUCCCCCCCCCCCCAAGCUGGGGUCCACUUAUAAUAUUUGUGUAGGUUCAGGCAGCAAACAGUAAUUAUAGUCAUAAUUCAUUUUACAUGACCAUUUUCAAUUUCAUCCCUUAGAAAUAAACAGGCCAUUUUUGUUACUGUCCCUCUAAGAUUAAGGCACAUAAAUGAACUCUGCUCUGCCUUGCAAUCCUGUAUUUGUGCCUCAUUCAAAACGCAACCCAGAUGUGAAUGGGUGGGGCUUAAAUGUAAAUUAGACGGUUCUUGUGAUGUCACAGAAACUGUGUAUUGGCUACUUAAUUUCCAUAGAUGGACUGGUGUGUAAUCAGUAUAUUGUUAAACUAUGACCAUGUUUACAUACACCAAAUAAUUUUAUUUAAAAAUUGCAAGAGAUUUUUUUUGCAUAAUAUUGGCUCUUGAGGAAUAACUUUGCAGACUUACCUUUUUCAAAGGUGUAAUGACAAGAUGCAGUUGAGGGGCAAGUACAUUAAAACAUGCAGGGCUCAAACCUAAUGGCCUUUUUGGUGUCACACACAGAAAUAAUCUGCAAGCUUUUGUUAUGAAUGUGAGACAUUUCACAGUAUAACCACAGGCCAUAACUAAAUUCUCUUUAUAUGUCAUCAUAUUGUAUACUUGACCCUAAAACCUAAAUCUUAGGCUUAUGAUUCAUUAACUAUUAUAAAUUAUUCGGCAACUUCUGUGGAACCAAUAUGUACAUAAUAAUACAUAACAAUGAGUG
This is a long non-coding RNA of Pygocentrus nattereri (red-bellied piranha), 1126 nucleotides long. The record is from Ensembl. NCBI's taxonomy places the organism in Eukaryota, Metazoa, Chordata, Actinopteri, Characiformes, Serrasalmidae.